GAUGAACGCUGGCGGCGUGCCUAAUACAUGCAAGUCGAGCGAACAGACGAGGAGCUUGCUCCUCUGACGUUAGCGGCGGACGGGUGAGUAACACGUGGAUAACCUACCUAUAAGACUGGGAUAACUUCGGGAAACCGGAGCUAAUACCGGAUAAUAUAUUGAACCGCAUGGUUCAAUAGUGAAAGACGGUUUUGCUGUCACUUAUAGAUGGAUCCGCGCCGCAUUAGCUAGUUGGUAAGGUAACGGCUUACCAAGGCGACGAUGCGUAGCCGACCUGAGAGGGUGAUCAGCCACACUGGAACUGAGACACGGUCCAGACUCCUACGGGAGGCAGCAGUAGGGAAUCUUCCACAAUGGGCGAAAGCCUGACGGAGCAACGCCGCGUGAGUGAUGAAGGUCUUCGGAUCGUAAAACUCUGUUAUUAGGGAAGAACAAAUGUGUAAGUAACUAUGCACGUCUUGACGGUACCUAAUCAGAAAGCCACGGCUAACUACGUG
Molecule: ribosomal RNA, 497 nt
Filed under: uncultured bacterium
Lineage: Bacteria
Description: partial 16S ribosomal RNA
Rfam family: Bacterial small subunit ribosomal RNA
Source: RNAcentral